This 74-nucleotide transfer RNA is filed under the name mine drainage metagenome. Its description in RNAcentral is "tRNA-Ala". It matches the Rfam family "tRNA", at positions 1 to 59 of the family's 71-position model. From Rfam's summary of the family: Transfer RNA (tRNA) molecules are approximately 80 nucleotides in length. Their secondary structure includes four short double-helical elements and three loops (D, anti-codon, and T loops). Further hydrogen bonds mediate the characteristic L-shaped molecular structure. tRNAs have two regions of fundamental functional importance: the anti-codon, which is responsible for specific mRNA codon recognition, and the 3' end, to which the tRNAs corresponding amino acid is attached (by aminoacyl-tRNA synthetases). tRNAs cope with the degeneracy of the genetic code in two manners: having more than one tRNA (with a specific anti-codon) for a particular amino acid; and 'wobble' base-pairing, i.e. permitting non-standard base-pairing at the 3rd anti-codon position. The record is from RNAcentral.
GGGCUCUUGGCGCAACGGUAGCGCGCCUGCAUGGCAUGCAGGAGGUUGCGGGUUCAAAUGGCCUUUAGAGUUUC